RNAcentral lists this ribosomal RNA (253 nucleotides) under uncultured bacterium. RNAcentral describes it as "partial 16S ribosomal RNA". It matches the Rfam family "Bacterial small subunit ribosomal RNA", at positions 524 to 776 of the family's 1533-position model. The record is from RNAcentral.
UACAGAGGGUGCGAGCGUUAAUCGGAAUUACUGGGCGUAAAGCGCACGUAGGCGGCUUGGUAUGUCGGGUGUGAAAUCCCCGGGCUCAACCUGGGAACUGCAUCCGAAACUGCCUUGCUAGAGUAUGGGAGAGGGAAGUGGAAUUUCCGGUGUAGCGGUGAAAUGCGUAGAUAUCAGGAGGAACACCGGUGGCGAAGGCGGAUCUCUGGGCCAUUACUGACGCUGAGGAGCGAAAGCGUGGGGAGCGAACAGG